Molecule: ribosomal RNA, 460 nt
Filed under: uncultured bacterium
Lineage: Bacteria
Description: partial 16S ribosomal RNA
Rfam family: Bacterial small subunit ribosomal RNA
Source: RNAcentral
CCUACGGGGGGCAGCAGUGAGGAAUAUUGGUCAAUGGGCGUAAGCCUGAACCAGCCAAGCCGCGUGAGGGAUGAAGGUUCUAUGGAUCGUAAACUUCUUUUAUAAGGGAAUAAAGUGUGGGACGUGUCCUAUUUUGUAUGUACCUUAUGAAUAAGGAUCGGCUAACUCCGUGCCAGCAGCCGCGGUAAUACGGAGGAUCCGAGCGUUAUCCGGAUUUAUUGGGUUUAAAGGGUGCGUAGGCGGGCUUUUAAGUCAGCGGUGAAAGUGUGGGGCUCAACCAUGGAAUUGCCGUUGAUACUGGGGGACUAGAGUAUGUUUGAGGUAGGCGGAAGGCGUGGUGUAGCGGUGAAAUGCUUAGAUAUCACGCAGAACCCCGAUUGCGAAGGCAGCCUGCCAAGCCAUGACUGACGCUGAUGCACGAAAGCGUGGGGAUCAAACAGGAUUAGAUACCCUAGUAGUC